This is a long non-coding RNA of Thalassophryne amazonica, 165 nucleotides long. RefSeq lists it as uncharacterized. The record is from RefSeq and is a predicted model, not a curated record. The transcript has 3 exons. NCBI's taxonomy places the organism in Eukaryota, Metazoa, Chordata, Actinopteri, Batrachoidiformes, Batrachoididae.
AGAAAAUGUACUUAUUUUAAAUGUUCAAAGAGUCACAGCACCUCAUUCAUUCAUAUCAGCAUUUACCGCAGGCAUCAGUCGACUCUUCAGCAUUCUGCACGCAAUGAAAAUAGAUCCCAUGAUCCACCGAGACAAAACUAAAAUUAAAUUUUAAAAAAUGUGAAA